AAAGAGCUCGUAGGCGGUUUGUCGCGUCUGCUGUGAAAAUCCGAGGCUCAACCUCGGACCUGCAGUGGGUACGGGCAAACUAGAGUGCGGUAGGGGAGAUGGGAAUUCCUGGUGUAGCGGUGGAAUGCGCAGAUAUCAGGAGGAACACCGAUGGCGAAGGCACAUCUCUGGGCCGUAACUGACGCUGAGGAGCGAAAGCGUGGGGAGCGAACAGGAUUAGAUACCCGGGU
This 230-nucleotide ribosomal RNA is filed under the name uncultured bacterium. RNAcentral describes it as "partial 16S ribosomal RNA". It matches the Rfam family "Bacterial small subunit ribosomal RNA", at positions 562 to 791 of the family's 1533-position model. The record is from RNAcentral.